RNAcentral lists this non-coding RNA (30 nucleotides) under Homo sapiens (human). Lineage: Eukaryota; Metazoa; Chordata; Mammalia; Primates; Hominidae. The record is from RNAcentral.
UGAGCUGGAUAUUUCUUCAGCUUCUUGGGC